Long non-coding RNA from Diceros bicornis minor, 7250 nucleotides. RefSeq lists it as uncharacterized. The transcript has 6 exons. NCBI's taxonomy places the organism in Eukaryota, Metazoa, Chordata, Mammalia, Perissodactyla, Rhinocerotidae. The record is from RefSeq and is a predicted model, not a curated record.
UUGUUUUUUUUAUGUUAAGGAAACACAACUAGCAACCACCCUGAAGCUAACCAAGCCUCCCUACAAGAGCCAUGCCCAUGACCUUGCCUUAUUUUUAAUGCGAAGAUCUCUUCAAGAGAUUAAGCCUCAUUACCAUAAUCUGCAGUGUACCAGCCUCUCCCUUUUGAAUAUUCAUUCCCUAACCAAAUAGAAGUUCCUCCUUCCCUCUGUUCAGGGAUGCCAUGACUUUGGAGAUGAUUCCUCAUGGCCUGCUAUUUGCUGCAAGUACACUUCACUUUGUGAGACAACUUGCAGUGGUGUAGAGUCUUAUUUAACUCAUCAGGAGGUGAGCCCACUUGGUUUGGUAACAAAUUGGUGACCCAGAGGGGACAUACCCCUUUGUGGUGCCUGUGCUGCUGGCUUGACGUUGCUGCCCCAUUGGGAGACCCAGCCGUUGAACUGAGCACUUUGUUCGGAGGAUCACUCCGUGGAGGUGAGUGGAUAUGGGUUGAUUUGUAUCAGCAAUAGAGCAUUUCUGGAACCUCAACUGCAAUUAAAAUCACCACCUGAUAACAUUUGUGAUAACCUUCAUUCUCCAAGAUUCAUCUGUCUUCUGCACAGGCCAAAUAGAGUUGAAGAGGCAGAACACAAAGAAAGCAGGAUAAGAACUUGUUGGUGAAUGUCUCAGAAAUUAACAGAGGUACGGAAUUUGAUCGUGUGGUAUCAGAAAAUGAACCAGCUCACGUCAGCAGUGCUGAAUUCUACACACAACUCAAGAUGAAAGAGAACUGAGACGAGGUCAUUGGUAAACUGGCAAAUGGCUCUUCUAAAGAUAAUAUGUUCAUGAACAUCACUAUCAUUGUCAUCAUGAAAAACCAGAAAAAGGAAAAGAACAUUCAACUGACAUGGAAACGACUCAUUUUCUAUUUUAGGAGAAUGAACCAAUGAAGAGAGAAAGGUUGCAGACCUAGAAGAGGGGAAAAACUGAAGGAACAGGGUUCUGGAGAAGGUGAAGCAAGCUGAGGCUUCCCUAGCCCAAAGGAAAGUAUUACCUUUUACCUGGAUCAAGGACAAGAGGUUCAUUGUACUAAAAACAAGAAUCAAAAGUUAUGGAAGUAUAUAAAGUAGAAAGUGGAUGCUCCCAGGCCCACUAAUAGGAGAGAAUAAAUCAAGAAAGAGGAAGACAUAGAAUGCAGGGAAAGGAGAUCAACAGAAGAAAGGGCUGGCAAGACGCCACCAGAUGAUGUCAAUAGCGAUCCCAAAAUGACAGCCCUGUGUGGCAUAAAUGACAAUCAUUUCCAACUGCAGUUAGUCAAAAGACUCUGGAAAAAAUUUCCUCAGGUACAAUGUAAUGGCUAGAGUACCCCAGAUAAUUGCAAAGACUGUGUUGAAUGGCAUGUUCUCCAAAACUAGGGCAUAUGGACGGUGAAACUGGACAUCAUUGUAACACCAGACAAACAGGCAUAGACUGGGAUGAUGGUCACAGUGAUGUGAACAAAAUAGUAUGCAAGAAAAAAAAGUGACCCUAAUUUACUAGAUAGCAAACCUGAUAAUAUUCCUUAUAAUAAUGUGAACUCUGAAUAUUAAUCCAAACAAAAUUACAAAUUAACCAUAGUGGAAAGAUGAGAGCAUGGACAGGGUACACAGGUGUGGCGGGAAUGGCGGAAGAAAGAGAACGAAAUCCUCAUCUUCUACAGUGAGAAACUGAUAGAUAAUGCAUAAAACUGAAAAAUCAAGAAGUAGCGAAAUAAGCAUGUUAUUUAGAGACAAAAAGGCAAAUACAAAAUUCAGCAGCUAAAAUGGGUAAAUGUAGGGAAAAAAAAGAUGUACAGAGAAGAACAAGGAAUUGCAGUUUUUCAUAAUUAUUUGCCUAUUAAAGCUUUAUACAUUUCUAUCUUUGAUAUAAAUAAAAAGUAAAAAAACAAACAAAAAAAGAACAACAAAGGAAAGAUGGGAGAGAGGCAGGAAAGAAGGGAGAGAAGGAGAGAGCAACGUACUAAAAAUAUUAAUAGAAACGUCAAGUCCAAACUGUAUUUAACAGGAUUUCCCAAGGUAUAUUUAUUUUGUUUUGGUAACUUGCAGGCAAAAGGGCAGGCAAAGUCUAUAAAAUAAAUAACACUCCUUAAUCUUUACUGGAAUGGGAAAUGAGGGCAAGCCGAGAUGAUGCUGUAGCAUGCCUUGGAAACAUAUAUUCAGAAAGGAGUUAUUCAGCAGUAUUUGUUUUCAAAGCCAUGAAUGGUAGGUUUUUUAUUUUCUUAGCCAAGUUUUCAGUUACAAACAGAUGUUGUUGAGCAAUCUAGAAAAGGAAGUUGCAAAAAUAAUGGGGAAAAUAAAACCCAUCUACCGACACCUUUUCUUUCUCUGCUAUGUUCUUGCGGUUGCUAAUGCUUCAGCCUAACAGAUAUUGUCCUUAUGAAGACACCAACUGCCUGAUUGCAAUUUGAUUUUCAGAAAUCCUAACCAAGGUGUUCUGAUUUGACCUAAAGAAAACGUGGUGCAGAUGACAUCUUCUCAUCAUUGACUUACCCUCCUCAGGAGUUUGGGAAAAGGCCAUAUUAUCAUUUCCACCAGCGAUACACUUUACACAAAUCCCUAUAUGGAGGCUAUUACCAGAGGCUGCUUCCUGGUAGAUGUAUAUUCCUGGGGCCCCAAAACUCUCUGUUAUAGGUACACAUUUUCUCACCUUCUCUGAGUGCAUUUCUUAUAAAAGCAAGAAAAAUUGAUAGGUACAAAGACUCUCAGUUGGCACCAAAUCCUAAUAAGGGUGUCUAUAGCACUAUUUUUUUAUAGGACUCCAUUAUAAAACAUUUACUAACUCAAUCCCAAUCUUUGAACUCGAAAAUAGAGAAACAACCUAAUUUAGUGUCAACAAUUGCUAUAGAUAGUGGGCUCCACAGAGAGCCGUCCCCUGCUUCCACUAGCACAGCGGAACCAACACAGCAGGACAGGAAAGCAAGACACAUAUAGAACGAAAUUCUUACUCCGUGAGUGUCUAGCUGUGUAAUUUUUGAGAUAUUUAACCACUCUGAACCUUAGUCUCUUUAUCUGAAACAUAAAGAAGGUAAGGCCUUCUUUACUAUGCUCUACCAUAAUAAGGCUCUUACUUAAGGAAGUCAUUCAACAAAUAUUAGAGUUCCCUUUCCUCUUAUUUCUUGGCGCCUAGGGAAAGAGUGUGCAGGCGUCAUCCCUACUUUUCCUUUUACACGACCCAGGUUCCACGCUCUCUCCCUUAUUUGGGAUACAAGAAGAAAGUGAAAAAAUUGGCCUGAGAAAGACCACCCUUGUGUGCUUGCAUUCAAUUCACAUUAGAGGAUUUGGAAAAUCACUUCAACUCCCUAGGUUCUGUUCUUUCACUCUUGAAUCUGGACAUCGUUAAACCAUUGGCAGAGAUAUUUUUCUAGUGACAUUGUCAAUUCAAAGGCUAGCCAGGGCCAGCUGGACUGCCUUUUUAGGGAAGAGUCUCUUAACAGAGAUUGUGUGAUAAUGGUAACUCAUUGGGGUCGCUUGUCAGGAACGUUAGGAGGAAAGGCAGUGAAGAAAAACCAUAAACCAUGUCAGAGAUAUGGAAAAUUUGGGGAUCAAAUUUUUUCAUAAAUUAGCAGAUUAUAAUCAGGAAUUCCUCAUCUUUUCUCCUUGGAUGUCAUCUAUAAUGUGAUCUUGCUCUUGUGUAGAAUAGAAUACACAAAAAUCUUAGGACCUGGAAAAAUUUUAGAGAUCCUUAAAAGAGAUAACCCCAAUUUACAAAUAUAGAAACUAUUCACAGAGAUCAAGAGCCUCUCCAACAUAGUACAGCUUAUUAGUGGUGGAUCCCAUUUCUAUCCAUGCACUUUUCUCUUUAGUUUAUAUAUACCAGUGUGUAUGAAAACUUAUUUUUGUGUACUGUAGAUUUAUGUCACUGUAUUGUUCUACUUUUUAGGAAUUAGCUAAUUGGCUUUACAGUUAUUUUCAGGAACUCUCAACAAAAUUCAUGCUUUCUAUUUAGGUGAGACAUUUUAAAGGGUGAAUGUACAAGGAGAGGCUGGGUGUUUUGAGAAUCCAAACAGAAAAUAAGGAAAUUGUCUGACACCUUGUUGCUAACUCUUGAAAUAAAAAUGAGACUACUGCUUCCCUCCUCUUAUGGUUCUUAGGUUCUUCUUUGAAUUUAGAAAUGUGAAAGAUGAUUUGCUAAAACCCAGAAAGUUGCUAUGCAACCUACAUAUGAAAUUAUUUCUCCCAACCUUUAAUCCUGAGGAUCUAUAAUUCUGCUAUUUAAGAAACAAACAUGCCAUGUCAGAAGGAAGGAGAAUAUAACAGUAGACAUCUGAAUCAACUAUCAAUCUACUUUUCCAGCUUGUCAUGGCUCCUUAGACUGUUCAAGGAAACCUCACAAAUGGAAUUGAUUUACCAUAAAAUGUGCCUAUUUUCCAUUAAAGCUUGUUCGUUGCUUCACAAGGCACCGGAGUUACCAACGUUUCAUUGGUUGACCCUGCAGGGCCACCUCCAGGUCUUGUUAGUCCAGAAAAUGAACCGUGCAUAAGAGAGGCUUGGAGGGAGAAGUUUUAUUCGCAUCAGUUGUUCUGCACAUUGCUUAAACUAGAGACGUUAGCAGUUCCUUGAAGAGAGCAGCAUUAGUCAGACCCCUAGGGGAAAUAGAGAGAAAUGGAACUUACUCUGUCACAUGCUUGAUAGAAACAUGUCAGUUGAGACAGGCAUAGAGCAGGACAUAAGAAAUCUGUUUUCAAAGCUUCAGUGGAAUGGGUGAAGGCGUUAGAGCCCUUCGGAUCCUGGUUAAAAGUCCAGAGCUGCUACGUACCUAUUGUAUGACAUUGAUGAAGUCAACCUUCAAAAUUCACCUCCUUCAUGCAUUGAAUGGGCAUAUGUUAACUCAAGAAGUUGUUAUGGGAAUUAAAUAAAAUAACAUAAGUAAGGUGCUCAUUCCAGAUGGGGUCAUCAGUGUGUACACAAUUAAUGCCAGCAAUCCUAAUAAUUAUGAUGCUGAUGGUUAUUAUUCUAAUCCAGGCACUGCAAUUUACCAGUUAUAUGUCCGUGGGUGAGGAAUUCUGAGUUUCAUUUUCUUCCAUUGGAAAAUAAGGAGAAUAGUAUUUACCUUGCAGUGUUGUUUUGAGAACCAGGAAUGGUAGCCUUAGUAUCUAGCCUAGCACAGGCAGAUUCUUGAUGACUUGUUUGUAUUGUUUUCAUUACCACCUAUUAUUUAUAUAAUAAUCUGAUUCAACUUGAGAGAACUCAUAUUUUUUGUAAAGGUUGGCUCUUCCUGAUAUGAUAAAUUUAUACACCAGUCCAUCUGAUAAAUGUUUACUCAAGAAUAGAUAAGAUUUCUCUGUUUCAUUAGCUCCUAUUCAAGCUCCCUUAGACAUAACUCCUCAAAAUUUGUGAUUGAAAAUCAAACCAGUGUCCUCUACUAUGAAUAAGGCUUAUCAGGGCCACUGUGAAAGGAACACACAAAAAAUUCCUCAGUUUAUGGAGAUACACACUGUAAGCAAUUUUGUCAAGGCAGAAAAAACAACUAGGAUUAAAAUGUCUAGAGAACAUUUUAUGCUCUUUGGCCUUGACCUUCUGAGUGUCUUAUUGUCACAUGCUGGUUUAUCAAUCAAAGAAGAAUGGGCUUUAUUCAACUAGCAUUCUGCAGGACCUGUUAGCCAUCUAGUCUGCACACUCCGGACACCAGAAUCUUAUUCAGUUAUCAGUUGGAUCCACAUGGUUACAGCACAUCUUUUAAACAAUGCCAAAAUGCUUUUUUUUUUUAAUUGAGAAAAAAAAAGAAGAUAGUUGAGAACACAGAGCUCAAAAUAUGCAAGAACAACAUGUAGUUUCUUUAGAAAUCCUGAGUUCUGUUUUUUUGGCUCUGCAGUGCCAGUCCACUUCCCCACCUCUCCCUACCAAUUUAACCCUCCUUAGCGUCUGUGGCUUAAAGGUUCCUACACCAGUAUUGAAGUUGUCCUUCUGGAGAUCUGUCCAAGGCUCUGGGAUCCUAAAAACUCUACUUUUGAUCUUGGCUAAUCUGUUCUCAACCAGACAUAUGCUUCCAAAUAAUAUUUGCAAAUUAGUUGAUAAAGAUGAACCUCCCCUUUAGGGAAGUUAGGCCUCUUCAACUAUUCUAUUAUGCGUCAGUUUAGGUGUCUUAGCCUGGGGUUCUCCAAUAAAAGAUAGAGCCCAUGACAAGGGGAAAGUAAAUUGGGGGUAAUUAAUCCUAAGGAAUAAGAGUAAGGGGCUUGGUAGAGUGAAAUUGGGAAGAGAAAGUAAACCAAGGUUGUCUUAUCAAACUGGUCAUUGCUGUGGGCAACUGGCCUUGAUCCUGCUAGAGACUCUCUGAGAAGCCAUGCAGAAGGUGAUUCAGAGUUGUUCACUUGAGGGAUGAAAGAGUGGAUGAUUUGUCCAGUUUCCCAUCCUCCACUGGUCAAGGGUUGCCCUCAGUGAGAUAUUAACAUUUUCUCCCUUUUGGGUUUUUCAUGUAGCAGAAUGACUGGCCAGGUUCCCACAGGCACGUCACUCGGGCUGUGACAGAGAAGCCCAGGACAGAAAACAGCUUCACGGUGCAGCUAAGAUAAGGUACAGUCUGCUUUCCCCCGCCACGGCUGGUUGUCAUAGCAAUGACUGGAGUAAAAUGAUUUAUUCUAAGGUAAUGUAAAGCAGGUCACAGAGGUGACCCUGUUGCUCAUAUGGCCUCAAUGGCAUGACUCACAUUAAUAUGAUACUCUUCAAUAUUUUUAUCAACUCUCACAGACUGUAAACAAAACCUCAUCACUUCCAUUCCAAAGCCUGAAUCCUGUUUUGGUGAGAGAUAUAGCUCUUUCAACAGUUAAUGCAUGUUUUUAAAACUUCCCAUGGAGCCACCUCACAAACUGGUUUGGAAUUACACAUUUUAAAAGUGAAUUUUAAAAACAUUCAUUGAACAGUUAUUAUGCUAGGUCUUUUUGAAGACAGGCAGAAUACAAAAAGAACAAAACAUGGUAACUUCCCCCAAGGAGUUCAUUGACUACUCAGGGGAGAUGAGAUAAGACAGAUAAUUGAAAAAGUUGAAUGAAGCUAAUAGAAUAGGAGCAAUAUUGAAUGUAUCCUGAAUGUGUAGCAAUUACUCAGCAAGUAGUAGUCAAUGCUACAGGAUCCUACCCAGGUAUCUGGAAACAAGACAGACAAUCUGACAUAGAUGGAAACAAACAUGGAUACAAAUACAUAGAAAUGGUGGAUAAAAUAUAAUUAAUUUGUUUUAAAUAGCUCUUACCCAAAGAAGAAAAUAGCUAUUUCCAGAAGCCAAAAAUAAAAACUGCCCUCAG